GGUGUGUUUGCAGUGUGCAGAGUAAACGAGUAAAAAACGCUGUGCAGUCAUGUCUCCGGUUCUUUCUGCGCAUGCUCCGAACUUAAUGGGAUAAUAUGUGUUUUAUAGCAUAAUGAUGCAAACAACAGUAUUUACAUUCAUCACAUUACUGUGCUGGAAAACAAUACAAAUUAAAUAAAAAAGAAGAAAAAGUGUAGAAGAAGAAAAGCAGGACAAAGACAGAGUAUUGGGUGACCUACGUUCCUGUGGUGGUGAACAUGACUGCGAGUUCUCCAGAAGAACAAAUGCUGUAUUAUUACAGUGCUCCAGUACAUGUGGUGCCUCCUCAGCAGUACUCAGUCCAUCCCACAGGAUUCAAUACAUGCUACACUCUACUCCCUGAACCUACUACCCCAACAAAUGGUAAGUUCAUCAUGCCUUUCCAGUCAUCCUUACAAAAAGCCUGGUUUUCUUGUAGGAUGUUAUGAUCCUCACAGCUUACAUGUUGGUCUUUAAUUGAAACUGAUACUGUUCUUAAUACUGUACGUUUUUGUUCGGGUGGGUGUGGAGACCACGCUGGAGCGAAACCAGAUCACACGUGACCACGUGGGUCAUCUGUUCCAUCAGCUGCUGCAGGCUGGGAUCCUCUCCACAUCUCAGUUUUUUA
Silurus meridionalis is the source of this 646-nucleotide long non-coding RNA. RefSeq lists it as uncharacterized. NCBI's taxonomy places the organism in Eukaryota, Metazoa, Chordata, Actinopteri, Siluriformes, Siluridae. The record is from RefSeq and is a predicted model, not a curated record. The transcript is spliced from 3 exons.